CGGGUGAGUAACACGUGGAUAACCUACCUAUAAGACUGGGAUAACUUCGGGAAACCGGAGCUAAUACCGGAUAAUAUAUUGAACCGCAUGGUUCAAUAGUGAAAGACGGUUUUGCUGUCACUUAUAGAUGGAUCCGCGCCGCAUUAGCUAGUUGGUAAGGUAACGGCUUACCAAGGCAACGAUGCGUAGCCGACCUGAGAUGGUGAUCGGCCACACUGGAACUGAGACACGGUCCAG
This 237-nucleotide ribosomal RNA is filed under the name uncultured Staphylococcus sp. RNAcentral's name for it is "partial 16S ribosomal RNA". It matches the Rfam family "Bacterial small subunit ribosomal RNA", at positions 103 to 334 of the family's 1533-position model. The record is from RNAcentral. Lineage: Bacteria; Bacillati; Bacillota; Bacilli; Caryophanales; Staphylococcaceae.